UACGUAGGGUGCUAGCGUUGUCCGGAUUUAUUGGGCGUAAAGGGCUCGUAGGCGGCGUGUCGCGUCGGGAGUGAAAGCCCGCUGCUUAACGGCGGGUUGGCUUCCGGUACGGGUAUCGCUGGAGUGCGGCAGGGGAGACUGGAAUUCCUGGUGUAGCGGUGGAAUGCGCAGAUAUCAGGAGGAACACCGGUGGCGAAGGCGGGUCUCUGGGCCGUUACUGACGCUGAGGAGCGAAAGCGUGGGGAGCGAACAGG
Molecule: ribosomal RNA, 254 nt
Filed under: uncultured bacterium
Lineage: Bacteria
Description: partial 16S ribosomal RNA
Rfam family: Bacterial small subunit ribosomal RNA
Source: RNAcentral